GAUGAAGAACGCAGCGAAAUGCGAUAAGUAGUGUGAAUUGCAGACUUUAGUGAAUCAUCGAAUCUUUGAACGCACAUUGCGCCCCUUGGUAUUCCAUUGGGCAUGCCUGUUCGAGCGUCAUUUACAACCUCAAGCUCCGCUUGGUGUUGGGUGUCUGUCUGCGCUUCUUGCGAAGACUCGCCCUAAAUCUAUUGGCAGCGGCAUCGCCGGCUUCUCGCGCAGUACAAUGCGUUAUGGAAGGCUACCGGCGGGCUUGCGUCCAUCAAGUAACCCCCCAAGUUUGACCUCGAAGCAGGUAGGGAUACCCGCUGAACUUAAGCAUAUCAAUAAGCGGAGGA
This 338-nucleotide unclassified non-coding RNA is filed under the name soil metagenome. RNAcentral's name for it is "partial contains 5.8S ribosomal RNA, internal transcribed spacer 2, and large subunit ribosomal RNA". The stretch from base 1 to 120 matches the Rfam family "5.8S ribosomal RNA", at positions 35 to 154 of the family's 154-position model. The record is from RNAcentral.